GCCCGGCGUGGUGGCGGGCGCCUGUAGUCCCAGCUACUAGGGAGGCUGAGGCGGGAGAAUGGCAUGAACCCGGGAGGCGGAGCUUGUAGUGAGCCGAGAUGGCGCCA
This 107-nucleotide small RNA is filed under the name Pongo abelii (Sumatran orangutan). The record is from RNAcentral. Lineage: Eukaryota; Metazoa; Chordata; Mammalia; Primates; Hominidae.